UAGGGAAUAUUGGACAAUGGGGGCAACCCUGAUCCAGCCAUGCCGCGUGAGUGAAGAAGGCCCUCGGGUUGUAAAGCUCUUUUGUCCGGAAAGAAAAGCUUCGGGUUAAUACCCCGGGGUUCUGACGGUACCGGAAGAAUAAGCACCGGCUAACUUCGUGCCAGCAGCCGCGGUAAUACGAAGGGUGCAAGCGUUACUCGGAAUUACUGGGCGUAAAGCGUGCGUAGGUGGUUGUUUAAGUCUGAUGGGAAAGCCCUGGGCUCAACCUGGGAAUGGCAUUAGAAACUGGGCAGCUAGAGUGCGGUAGAGGGUAGUGGAAUUCCCGGUGUAGCAGUGAAAUGCGUAGAGAUCGGGAGGAACAUCUGUGGCGAAGGCGACUGCCUGGACCAGCACUGACACUGAGGCACGAAAGCGUGGGGAGCAAACA
Molecule: ribosomal RNA, 427 nt
Filed under: uncultured bacterium
Lineage: Bacteria
Description: bacterial SSU rRNA
Rfam family: Bacterial small subunit ribosomal RNA
Source: RNAcentral